AUGCGGGACUCAUCAGAGGCCUCGCAAUUGGAAUGAGCGCACUUUAAAUCGUUCGACGAGGAUCUAUUGGAGGGCAAGUCUGGUGCCAGCAGCCGCGGUAAUUCCAGCUCCAAUAGCGUAUAUUAAAGUUGUUGCAGUUAAAAAGCUCGUAGUUGGAUCUGGGGUUCGGGUCGGCGGUUUGCCGCUUCGGCGGCUACUGCCGUGCUCGACUCUUACUAGCCGGUGCGUCUUGCGGUGCUCUUCAUCGAGUGCCGUAGGAGCCUGGCAUGUUUACUUUGAAAAAAUUAGAGUGCUCAAAGCAGGCGAUCCCGCCUGAAUAGUGUUGCAUGGAAUAAUGGAAUAGGACCUCGGUUCUAUUUUGUUGGUUUUCGGAACUUGAGGUAAUGAUUAAGAGGGACGGUCGGGGGCAUUCGUAUUUCGGUGUUAGAGGUGAAAUUCUUGGAUCGCUGAAAGACGGACAAAUGCGAAAGCAUCUGCCAAGAACGUCUCCAUUAAUCAAGAACGAAAGUCAGAGGUUCGAAGACGAUCAGACACCGUCCUAGUUCUGACCAUAAACGAUGCCAACUAGCGAUCCGCAGUGGUUGCUAUAAACGGACUCUGCGAGCAGCUUCCGGGAAACCAAAGUGUUUGGGUUCCGGGGGAAGUAUGGUUGCAAAGCUGAAACUUAAAGGAAUUGACGGAAGGGCACCACCAGGUGUGGAGCCUGCGGCUUAAUUUGACUCAACACGGGGAAACUCACCCGGUCCGGACACUGUAAGGAUUGACAGAUCGAGAGCUCUUUCUUGAUUCGGUGGAUGGUGGUGCAUGGCCGUUCUUAGUUGGUGGAGUGAUUUGUCUGGUUAAUUCCGAUAACGAACGAGACUCUAGCCUGCUAACUAGUUGCGCCGUGUUCAUACGCGGCUAUAGACUUCUUAGAGGGACAGGUGGCGUUUAGCCACACGAAAUUGAGCAAUAACAGGUCUGUGAUGCCCUUAGAUGUCCGGGGCCGCACGCGCGCUACACUGAAGGAGUCAGCGUGUGCUAUCCGGGCUCGGGAGAGUUCGGUAACCCGUUGAAACUCCUUCGUGCUUGGGAUUGUGGCUUGUAAUUAUCGCGCAUGAACGAGGAAUUCCCAGUAAGUGCAAGUCAUCAGCUUGCGCUGACUACGUCCCUGCCCUUUGUACACACCGCCCGUCGCUACUACCGAUUGAAUGGUUUGGCAA
Molecule: ribosomal RNA, 1202 nt
Filed under: metagenome
Description: SSU rRNA
Rfam family: Eukaryotic small subunit ribosomal RNA
Source: RNAcentral